Molecule: ribosomal RNA, 380 nt
Filed under: uncultured eukaryote
Lineage: Eukaryota
Description: partial 18S ribosomal RNA
Rfam family: Eukaryotic small subunit ribosomal RNA
Source: RNAcentral
CAAUAGCGUAUAUUAAAGUUGUUGCGGUUAAAAAGCUCGUAGUUGGAUUUCUGCUGAGGAUGACCGGUCCGCCCUCUGGGCAGGUAUCUGGCUCAGCCUUGGCAUCUUCCUGAAGAACGCAGCUGCACUUGACUGUGUGGUGCGGUAUUUAGGACAUUUACUUUGAGGAAAUUAGAGUGUUUCAAGCAAGCGCACGCCUUGAAUACAUUAGCAUGGAAUAAUAAGAUAGGACCUCGGUUCUAUUUUGUUGGUUUCUAGAACUGAGGUAAUGAUUGAUAGGGAUAGUUGGGGGCAUUCGUAUUUAACUGUCGGAGGUGAAAUUCUUGGAUUUGUUAAAGACGGACUACUGCGAAAGCAUUUGCCAAGGAUGUUUUCAUUGA